AAAUGGAUAUGAGCGAUGAGUAACCGCCACAAUCUGGAGGGAACAAGAGAAUGCGCUUACAGUGGUAGAAGUGAAAACAUCAGAGGUGAUCCAGCUGUGGGGAAGAGUGCUUUGGCUCAGAUGUUCCGCAGUGAUGGGGCUCAUUUUCAGAAGAACUACACACUGACAACGGGCAUUGAACUGUUGGUGAAGGCUGUAUCAGUUCCAGAGACAAGUGAUAGUGUGGAAUUCUUCAUUUUUGACUCUGCAGGAAAAGAUCUAUUUUCUGAGAUGCUGGAGAAACUGUGGGAGCAACCAAACGUCCUGUGCCUUGUGUAUGAUGUCACUAAUGAGCAAUCUUUCAACAACUGUGCCAAGUGGCUGGAGAAGCUGAGGGCUCAAGCAGUUGGAAUGCACAUCCCAGGUGUCUUAGUGGGGAAUAAAACAGAUCUGGUUGGUCGUCGAGUUGUGGAGCAGAAACAAGCACAGGAGUGGGCUGACAAGCAUGGCCUGGAAUACUGUGAGAUGUCAGUGAAGGAGAUGAGAAAUUUUGAGGCCCCUUUCCACAUCCUGGCAAAGUCAUUCCACCAACUGUACAAAGAGAAAGUGGAAACCUUUCGCUCACUAGCUUGAGGGCCGUGACUGGGAAUGACUUAAUUAGCUUUUGAGCUUCUUCUGGGGCCCAGAAUCCUGCGGACUGGGAUGCAGAGAGAAGAAAAAAGAUGAUUGCUCCCUCAUGGUUAUCUUCUGGCUCGCUUUCUCUGCCUGGCAGGAGCUGUCUGUCUUGCAUCUGUACCACUGUCACUUGGUAAUGCAGUGCCCUCUGCUGGCCCCAGGUCACAAGAUUUCUGAAGAAGCUACCUCUGAUGAAGCAAGCAGAACCUUCUACUGUCACAUCCAAAUUGGCGUAUCUGCAGAAUGGGGUCAUAUAGUAAGAAUACCUCUUUUAUUCCAGGGACAAAUCUAAGACUUAAAUUAUCUUUCUUUCUUCAUGCAUUUGUUAUUUUAUGUGGUUUUGUGUCAUUUUUCAUCUUGUCAGCUGAGCUUUUCAAUUCCAUGUUCUCAUUAGAUUUAGUUUUCAAUCUCUUACUAGAAUCAGACUCAUCCUUAUUGUUAAACUUUCCCUGCCUAUCCUUGAAUUUCAGAGCAAAGACCAUGAUUCUGAUAUCACUAGUGGAAGCAAGAUUUGGUAAAUGAAAAACAACCUAGCUAAGUUACUUUGAUUCAGCCAUGUCUGGCUGGAAGUUUUGUAUCAGAAAGGACAAAAGCCUAGAGAGAACACUCUUUUGUGUGGUGCAUUGAUGUCACCUCUGUAAGAAUAUCUGCUAAUGCAGUACGUGAAAGCAUUCAUGGUUAGGCACUGCUUUGCAGCUGGGCCUAACACUGAGGAGCUCAAAACCGUAACCUUUCUCUACUCCUAAAAUUACAUUAGCCUCCCUUGGGCAAGGGAGGCUGAUUUUCAUGGAGAAUAAACACUGAGGGAUUUUUCAGGCAGGCUUUUCAGGAAUCUGUGUUUCAAGACUUUUAUAUAUUUUAUAACCAUUUUUAUGCCCAGUGCUAGGAAUAUGACUGUAGAUGUUGUAGCAGACUUUAUGAAACACCUCAAGAAUCUGGAAUAGCAGCUGGGCUCAUUUCAUUGGCAACAGCGUGUUGAUGCUGGGAAUUAGCUAGGGAGCAUGAAUACCAGCUAAAGGGGUUAAGCAGGAGCUGAGCCCUCUAGGAAAGAAAAUGAAUAAUUUUUUUUCUGUUUGCUUGUUUUUUUCCCCCUCAAGAAGCCACUUGGGAAAAUAUGAUAGUACUAGUUAGGAAAGCUUUUACUUCCUCCAAAUAAGGAGGACUCCUCCAUGGAUUUAGGGUCACUAGAAGAUUCACCCUUUUUGACUUGUCUUGGCAUCCUUCUUGUACAUGGGUUGCCUUGUGAAUUCUGGGGGCUGUCUCUUUAUUUACAUGGGCUGAGUAGGGGUUUGCCUGCAGAUGUUAGUGCCUCUGCCUAUUAAGAAUAAAAGCUAUUUUGAAUGCUGUGCUGAUCUAGUUAAAGAACCAAAGAAGGUUUGUUUUGAUUUGGUAGCUCAUUUGCCCCUAGUUCUACUGAUGAUGUGAUUACAACACAAGACGGAUAUUUUUUCAGACCGAAAAUAUCGUGCCAGGUGUGUCUGCCACCUGUGACGUGGUGUAGGGGGGAAUGAAUGCCUUGGGAAUAGGUGAUGAAAUGAAUCCCAUAUAAUCUUUAACUAGGGAGUUCAAUCUCUCUGCCCCAGAAAGACUUCCCAUAGCUUCAAAUAAACAGUCAAAAUGCACCAGUAAGUUGAAGAUCGGUGAACAUUGUUUUAUUAAAUGAACACAGAAGCUGGAGGAUCUCAUUAAGGGAGUGCUUGCAGAGGUGAUUUGUGAUUUAUAGGGAACCUGCUUUUGAUAGGUUAGUGAAGAAAAAUGCAUCCCAUGCAGGGAAAGAUAUAUUGCCUGAGAGAGGAAACAUAUAAUCUAAUUAGCUAUCAGUAGGGAUUCACCCACUGCCCCUUUCUUUCCUUCCACCGGCCAGGACUAGAAUUAGAAAAAAGGUUGUCCCUAAAGCAUGUAGCCCAACUUGAUUUUACGGCACUGUUUCAAGGACUAACGUAGACACGAUUUAAUGUCUGUCAAAAUGGUGUGUUUGGUCGUCACCGUCUCAGUCAUUCCAAAUGCAUUUUAAAAGCGUAAUAUAUUGUUCCUUCGUGGCUAAUGUGCUGUACGAUACCAGCAUGAUGCAGGCGAUGCUAUUUUCCUAAUUUGACCUUGAUUGUAGAGACUAGUAGUGAAGGGUGAGUGGAGUCCAUGGGAGCCAGAUACAGACAGGCUGUGAAAAAGAGUUUUGUGUCUGUGUGAAGGAGUUCGAGUAGUGAGUAGGUGAGCAGGACGAGUAAGAGUCUGAAGCCAUUAGUAAUUUCUCUUACUGUGGCCAGCAGCUGUUGUGGUCAUAUCUGUAGAGCGAGGAUGCUUUUUGCUGCUUAUAGCCUUUGCAAUUCCCUGAAUUACAGACACCGUGGAGGACGGUGGGAGGAAGGCAGAAAGCAUGUCUGCUGACCAGGAAGCUUGUUGUCUUCUUACAGCUCCCCUACUUUGUCCAGCUGUGCAUGCUGAGCACCUGCAGCAGUGAAUGUUUACAACCUAGAAGAGCCUCAGCUCAACCAGAACUGAAAUUUCAAAAGAAGGGAGAGAAAACAAGCAGCAUUUUUAACUGUCUGUAAGAGAUUAAUAUAUAGUCCUUUUAUAGAAGCUUGUUUGAUUAAAAAAAAAAAAAAUCUUUCCUCCUCAGAGCCCCUCCUUCUUACCUUUUCUUUGGUCCUCAUUUCUCAUGCUUCUGCUCUAUAGAAUCCCUGUUACACUUGUGCCCUGCUUUACAUGGCUUGAAACAUUACCAGCUGAUUUUUAAAACCUUCUCAUUUCCCCAUUGACUAUUCCCAAGGCUACCUUUCAUCUUAGAGAGAUUAAUAGAUAAAAAUUUUUAAAAAGUGGAAUUUUUAGUCAAAUUGUCAUGGAAGACUGAACUUCAGGAAGCUGACUGACAUUCUGAAAUUUUACUGGAAAUCUGUUUUUGUAAAGUUGUCAUGUUAAAGAUGCUUCAAUGGUUUGGUUUGGUUUGGUUUUGCCAGACAUAUUCUACCAUGAAGCGAAAUGCAGGAUGUAGAACUGCAGAAAGAUCAGGUCGUAUUGUGGGAUUUAAUAGGAGUUUCAAAGCUGAUCACACUGUGAUAAGAGCUGUUCAGUCUUAACAAUGGAGUGGUCACUGCUGUUCAUAAUAAAGCAUUAAAUAUACUGAAAUGGGGCUGUGAAAAAGUUCCUUGUAGAGAUUUAUUCAUUUUAGAGACUUAAAACUUUAGAAAAGACAUCUUUCAGAAAACCGAUCUGAUAAAUUACACCAUUUGGUCCAGGGUUAUUUCUGAUAUAACUUUGGCGACUUGAAGGGCUGGAUUUAGUCUUUUAUUCCAGUUGACUCCCUUGGGUAAGCUUCAUUUCUUUACCUUCUAUAUACAUCUUGGGCCAAUCUGAACUGAUAGCAAAAGACACAUGAUGCUGUUGAAAAUGAAAUACUGCCUUGGGGCAGAAGGAUAAACCGUGUGGCCUCCUGAGGUCCUCCAAGCAAUACUUUAUAUAAUUCUAUUAGAUUAAGUGGGGAAAGAAGUAGUGUGGAAAGCACAAAACAGGCUAAGUCAUAAACUAGCAAUUAAACUGGGAGCUGGGCCGGGCUACAGCAGAAAACGUACAAUCUAUCCCAAUUAAGAGCUGUAUCUCAAGAGAAAGCAGGAGCCUGACGCAGGUGCUGACAGCAGGGAAAACACUGUAUUUCUGUUCUGCAGGCAGCAAAUGCUUUCUGCUGGUGCUUACACAGACCCGUGGGGGUCCAUACCCUGCUCAAGACUAUGCUGUGCUUUUAAUAAUUACUGUAUCUGUGAUGUUCAGGUGGCAACUGCUUGCAGUUGUUGUCUCAUCUGCCUGUAUAAAGCCAGCAGUGGGAUGGCAGAUCCCUGCUAGUAGCAGGAAGACAUUCCUAUUCUGGAUACCAUCCGUUAUGGGACCCCUCUCUCUCCAUGGGGUCUCGGUCUUUCUUUUCCAAUCUCAUAUCCACUUCUUGAUGGGGAAUAGCCACCUCUGUUUGUUCUUAGCAAGUGAUCUUUUCAUCUUGCAGAUGGUACUCCGUGGUCCUGCGGCUAAGAGAUUUCUAGGACCUUCUGCAGCAGAGGUGGAUUCUGAGCAGGAGCUAUUCAAGGGCCAUGUUGGCCCCCCCACGUCCCUCUUAGCCUCAGGGCACAUCAUCUCACUGCUUCUCGCAUCCCAUUUCCUCCUCCUGCUGUCAUCUUGCCUUGAGAACAAUGUCUUCUGUGCCAGUUGCCCUUGGCUCUGUUGACCCGGAACAGCAAUGCUUGGGGGAGGGAGAAAGCAGAGAGCCCCUCAAUCUCUGCUCCUUUCGGUGCACUUAGGUGUUGUGACUCCCUGUCCAAGUCCCCUGAGAGAAGGGGACGUUGCUCAGUCCAGAGUGUAAUUUCCUGGCAGAAGACCCCCAGCAGAGUCCUGGCAGCCUCCUCUUGGCUCUUCAGAGCUUGCCGCAGUGUAACUUUCACAGACACUGGCUGUUCUCAUUUUGACUUGGAGUUGUGGAUUAUUUUUUCUUAUUAUUAUAUUUUUUACUCCUUGGGGGUCUUUCUCUCAUUUUUCUGCCACAGCUUCACGUAUUUCCUCCCCUAGAGCUGUUUGUCAAGAAAAGCCUGGAAUUGCUCUCUUUCCUGGUCUCUGAGAUCAAAUCCAAAUUUGGCAAUGUUUAAAAGGGAAAUGUGACAGACCCUACAUGCCAAGCUGGGGUCAGGGAUGGGGUCAGUUUGAUGAGCUUCCCUCCAGCCAGAUAUGUUUCAGCUGGAGAAAUGAGCCUGUAAUCUUUCUGCACAAGUACUGGAAAAAUAAACAACGUGAGGACUUAAAGUUAGGGACUGUUAGAGCAGGUACACAGGCAGAACUGAGCAGCUGCUGCGUCUUGAGCAGUGGAAAUGCAGGAGCAGUCGGAGAACAGGCGAGUGUAAGAAAGAGUGGGGUGUGUAUUCCUUCACGAAAAGCCCAAGGGAUUUGCCGAGGCAGAGUGGGAGGGUGGGAAAUCUGAGUGGAAAGGCCUAAGGGUUUUCCUCGCUUGUAGAAUUAUGUAUGGAAAUCAAGUGGGAGGAAAAGUAAUUUUUGCUUGAGCCAUUGAGGGAAAGUGAGGAUACAUGCGAGUGCUGCAGGUUGGAGAGCAGGUGGCAAGAAUAAAUAACUGAACAUCGACUGGCAGGGCCCAGAUCUCUGGGCCAAGGUUGGUUUGGGGAAUUCAGCGCUGUGACGAGUAAGGUCAACGGUUGCCAUAAGUUUAGGUUCAAGUUGUAGGGCCUGCGUUAGAACAAGGCAGGGUGAAUUAGAGUCUGCGUGACAGGGUCAGUGCUGGGGUUAUGAUAGGGCAAUAGUGAGAACCCAUAAUGACAAGUAAUGUGGGGAGAUAAUUAUAGUACACUGCGCUGCUCUGAGGAGCAGUGGCUGAAGUCAGCACAUUCAGGUGAGACCAGAAAAAGCAGGUAGGCUACAGAAACGGUGGAAGAGUGUGAAGUGAUGCUGGAAAUUCAGCUUGAGUUCAAUUCUUCUGAGGGGAGGGUAAUAGACACCUACGAUUAUUACCUGCAGAGCUUUGUAUUAUUACAACACAAAUUAAUUCUGUUGUUUCUGUUGCUAGAAACUGGGUGAUACGUUUGCUUAAACAUUUUUCUUUUUUUAGGGGGUGGGGGGACAACCAACCCAUAAUAUUUCUGCAUAAUUGUGCUGCAGCCUCCUGAAUACAUUAUACACAUCCAUUCAGAAAAUGAAAAGAGAACCUGCACUUCACCUGGCCAAGCAGAUGUGACGGCUGCAACUUGAGCAUUGACAUUUUACAACAAAAGCUUCAUGACCAGUUUGCACUGCAGAAGACCUCCCCAAAACACCAAUACGUAACCUAAAAAAGAAAUAGAAAAAUGCAAUGUGUAUGUGGUCAAUAUAAAGCAGGUAGAAAUCACCUUGUUCACGAAUAAAACUAACUACAAUUAAAAAUGCCCUCAGCUCUGCAUGGGAGGAAUCUCUUUUCUGUGUUGGUUUCCUUUCUUUGCUUUUGCUAAUCUCUUGAUUCUUGCAAAGCAUCACGUACUCUAACAGUUGUGCGUGACCACUGCGUGCUAUUUCUGGGCCUUUGUUUUUGUGAUGUUGGAUGGCUUCAGUGUGAGGACUGUGAGCCAGGACGUGUUGGGAUUCAGGUUGCAGUUGAAGCAUCAGGCAUGAAAUCAGUUUGUGAGGGCAGCAGAACAGAGGCUGGGAAAGAGUCCCACAGUUAAGAUCAUGCUUUUUUUGCAGUGCUGUUGUCAGCAGAGGUAUCAGGCUGCAAGGAAUGGGAAAGUGUUAGGGAGAGGACAGGGGGAUGUUUUGGGUACGGACACAAGCAGAUUAAUGCAGCUCUUUCUGGACUCUGAACCCACCGAGACCUGGGCAUGUUUUUUUUUAAGUGGACUGAGUCGUUGCUGUUGAUGCCCACCCAACUAAGGCUGACUGCCAGGGAUGGCUUUAGGCAGACGUGAUCACUGAAUGCCACCUGGGUCCACAACCUUUCUGAUACCCAAUUCCUCUGCGCUCUCCAUGCCUCUUGCUGGGGUUAUAAACCAACACCAGGAAAAAAACACUUGGCCUUUCUGUACACUGCCACCCUCCCCGACUCCUCUGCUCCCCAUCUGUGUGAGGCUUGAGCCUGUGCCCUGCUGGGCUGGCACAAAACUGGACCGGUACGGGAGCGAGAGAGCUGUGCCCACAUCGGAUGCGCGUCUCCGUGCGGGUGAGGGGCAUCCGAGGCAGGCACCCUUUCCUCCUUUUAUCAGACUGCUCUCAUUUAUUAUACCAUCUGUUUUCCCAGCGCCGGAGAUGAUGCUGGGGAUAUGUGACUUGGGGCACUCAGGCAGAAACUGGCCUGCACAAGGCCGGCCAUGUGUUUGCCUCCUAGCAAUGCAGCGGUCAGCAGCAAAUUCUUUGCCGCCGCCUCCUCUCAGUAUGGGAGAGAGCGAGCGUGGGCCUGGGUGUGUAGGAGACACAAAGAGAUGAAAAAUGUGAAGGGGGGGAGGCAGGCGAGGGGAGAUGCGCCGGGGUCCACGGGUGUCAGCUCGAGAGGAACCGGGGGAAAGCGGGACAGACGGACAGAUGGGAUGAAGAAUGGGUUGGUGGGAGGGAAAGGACAGGCGGAAGAAUUGGGGUGAGGGGAGACCGCGAGAGCAAGGCUGAGCAGGAAGGACAAGCAGGAGGAUUCGGUCGGUGUGUGGCGGGGAGAGAGAUGGAUUGUCUGUGGGAGAGAGAUGUGUGUCAGCCAGGCGCUACGGUAAUAGGUAACGGGAUAACUACAGAGAUGGAGAUAAAGCGAUUGCGUGCGUGCCUGUUUGUAUAUGCCUGUGCAAAGGGGGAGCUGAGUGAAUGACAGGGAGGGAGAACAGCCAUAGGGAGCGAGGAGAGAGAUAAAGCAGAGCUAUAAGAAGGAGCAAAAGAGCAAAGCUAGAGAUGAACCGUGGGGAAAAAAAAAAAGAAAAAAAAAAGAGAUGUGGGAAGGCGAGGCAGCCUCGCAGUGCAAACAAGAGCUGGGAUUUAGCAGGGGGACAGGAGGGGGCUCAUAGGAAAAGGGAGGCUAACACAACUACACUUGUGUACUUGGGGCUGAGGUUCUACUGGGGCCGGAGAGAGGAUGCAGGGCAGAGAUCAGAGCACUAAAUCUCCGGUACUAAAAGGAAGCAUUUCCACGCACGCACGGCUCGCUGCUGGUGCAGGGACCCAGUGGACCAGGGAAUGUAAAUGCCAGCGUGCAGGCGCAGGUUGUUUCCUGCCUGCUGAACUGCAGAGUACCUGAGCAUCUGCAACCUGUGGGCUGCCUCUUGCCAGCGUGCCUGCUUGGCUGCUGGGAGCUGUUUAAGAUGGCAGGUCAAGCAUUUAUUUAUCAUUUUCUUCUCCUCCCUCUUGCCCUUUAUCCUUGCAGUGCGCUCUCAAUGGGAAAGGAGACAUGAAAAACACAGUGCCCAAAUUCACAGGCACUUUUGUAAUUCUUCCACCUCAUGUCAUACUCGCCACCUUGCUUUGCUGCCUGACCCUACCACCACCUUGACCAUUUCUUUUCUUUUCUGUCCUUUGCCAUGUCUGUUUUCAUCUCCUUCCUUACGCCUUCCUUCAACUUUCCAUCAUUUUAAAUUUUCACUCUUCCCUGUAACUCCAUUCCCCCUUCUCUGUUGUGCUCCAGACUUCUAGGUUAUACGCCUCCCCUUGUUGGUUCAGCUUAUUCCUCCUGGUUGCCCUGUUUCUUUUCUUUUGCUCCUUUUAAUCUCUCCCUGGUUCCUCCAUCUCCUUCUGUCUGCCUGCUUCCUCUCAUUCACUGUCUGUCUCUUUUGAACUGGGUUGUGAAUUCUGUUGGCAUCAGAGUGGGACAAACUGUAAAACCGAGGUUCCCGGAGGGCCAGGUUGUGAUCAUUUUAUUUUUACAAUGUCCUUGGAUGUAUAAAGGUGUUUGUUUGAGGGGGAGGAGCAGUGCGUGUGCUCCAUGUGGGAGAAGAGAGGGGAGCGCGGGCCAGAACGAAUGAAGCUUAAAACUAAUAUAGGUCAGUUGCAGAGAAGAGUCCCAGUGGUCUGUGAAGCAGAGAAGCAGUUUGUCGCGUCAGACCGGCUACUGGAAAGAUGGCAGCUGAACAGUUUCACCCAAAUGAUGCCAGCAACCUGGAGAAGUGUCCUGUCAAAGAGUGCAGGGGAGGAGAGCCAAGCCCUGCACAGCUCGCCUCCGGCCACCUCCCUCACCCAGGGAAUAACCAGCCUCAGUUUCCUUCUUCCUGCCUCCGAGCUGUCUCCUCCUGUGCGUGUUCCUCUGUCCUCACGUGGAGGGGGGAACAAGGCUGAGGUACACCUCCCGGUGCCCCCUGCCAAACCCAGGGGGCCCAGGUGGACAACAACAGACCCUUGGGGGAUGUCCUGAGGUGUGUGGCCAGCCUCUGCUGGGGUCAGUGCUGUGGAGGAGCCCCACACAGCCAGCAGGGAGAUGUCACCAAGGCUCUGGGCCUGGCCUGGUUGAGCUGGAAGAGCCGAGGGCUCUCCCUGGCGCUGCUGGGAGUUGAUUUUUCUCUGCAUAAGAGCCCUCACUUGCCAUGAUUUGCCACAGUAUGUGUAAACUCUGCACAUACCGUUCCCAGAGAUCUUCACAAGUGGUUAGCAGUUGCAGUGAAUGACUGAAAGUGGCAAGUCCUGAUGAGCCCAGCAUUUGGCCUCGGAACUUCUGAUUUCAUUGCUAUUAAGAGUUUUGUUGCUAUAGGAGGUUAAUCUGCUAAAAUGACAUCUUGAUAUCAAAACAGACAUCCAGAGUUUCCGAGGUACUUGGAGCCUAUACAGCUCUGUAAAAUCAACAUGAGAUGCUGACUGCUCAGCACAACUGAAAAUCAGGACAGUUCUUCAAUGUCUAAACACGGCGUUAGGAGCCUAAAUAGACAUACGUGUUUUGUUUUCUUUUGAAAAUAGGCCUCUGCUCCCAAAGCAGGGAAUGUCACCCAUCUUCAGCUUCUGUCCGUGGCGUGCUCUUCUGCGCAUACCAGAAUGCUCCAGUCUAGCAUCUGACUGGCUUAAUCCAAUGUGUUCAGCCUCCUUCCCCUGUAGGAGUUCACACUGCAGCCCCUAAAGCAUUGUGAUGGUAAUAGAGAACCAAAUCUGAGGAAUUCGUACAAUGGCUCUGUGGUCACAAUGCACCAGCUGGCUUUCACUGAAACGGUGUCUAAAGAACACGCACAUCUCAGAAGAUUCCUCCCUGACUUUGUGAGACUACAAAAAGAAAUCCUCCUCACAUUAAAAUCUGUAGCCUGUUAUCACUGGUAUCAGUGGGACCCCGUGAUUUUGAGCUUUCUAAGAUUCCCCGCUCACUGAGCUCCUGAUUAGGUGUUGGGAUACAUGCUUCUCUUGAUUUGAAAAAUCAGAGCGACAACAUAAACUAUCCCAGAGCUUAACCACUUAUUUUAUUUUCCUUAGGAUGUUCCUUCUAGAGUCUCUCUUAACCCUGAUUUAUUACUGAGCACCAGAGAAAUUAAAAGCUCGAUAUUCCAUCCCUGACACCCUAAGCUAUUUGACAGAUCAAGAGCCAGGGGGGUCCUAAAGAAGACAGAUGGGUGUAUAGCUGGUUUGCAGAAGGGUUACCUGCAGCAGUACCACCAGACCUAGGAGAGCAAGUCUGCCCCGUCCAGCAAGCCUCAGCAAUGCCUCUGUGGCAGCUGAGCACCAGAUGACAAAAGCUGGUGUUUAGGCUGAAUUGUGGCUUUAAAUGGUAAUACCAAAUAGAUGAGGUUGCACAGGAUCCUCUUCUCUGUCUUCAUCUGCGCCCUUUACACUGGAAGAAAGGCUGAUAUCAGGGAAUAUUGAUCAGGGUCAACAUGGAGCGUCUUCACUGUAGGCCUCGCUUUCCUCCAGCAUUUAUCACUGUACUAAUGUUUCCAGGAAGCUUCUGAAAAUCUUCAGUUCAGAAAAAAGAAACCAACAACUUCUCUUUCUUGCCUUAUUCUUUAAAAUUCUCUUCUCUGUUUAUUGCUAUGUUUACCUGAAAAUAGGCUUUUUUUCUUCUUUAAGAGUCCUACCGCAGCUGCUGCACAUUUCCUCUCUGGCAUUUCAUGUACCUGUUUGUUAAGAAAUGAUGGCUUUUUUAACCCAUGCAUUCUGACCAGGAGACAAGAGGCAGGUCUGGGGUGAGUUCUAGUCCUGGUUAAUGAAUGAAUAGACAAGGGACCUAUUUCAAACAAGACUGAGUUCCUUGUGCCCAUAUUUCAUGCAGUUCCAGUGAGACGCAUUGCUCUGUGAUCUAUUCCGGAGACCUUUUACCUAUGUCUUGACUUAAGAGCAAAUUCUGAUCACAAAACCUGUGCCAUACUCUUUUCACCAACUUCUUGUGAACAAUGUGUGAUUCAGUUUGGGUUCUUGCCUCCUCUCCUUUGUUUUCUUUAGCUCUGAUUUUCAGGUAUUUGCUUAUCCAGGUGUCAAGGCCCUGGUACCUCUUGGCCCUGUUUCCUGGAAUACGCUUCCAGGGCUGGAGGUAUAUGGAUGGCUGUGAGAACAAUCUGUGCCUGAUUUGAUUUUGCAUAUGGAUGGAGAGGAGAAAAUAAAAAAGAAAAAAAAGAAAAAAAAGAAGGAAAAAAAACGCACAAAGGUUUACAUAAAGUGUCUGAGGAUACAACAAAGGAGUAGGAAUGAAAUGUAAAUAAAUGGGUCUUAAACAGGAAUGUUCUCACAACUGAUUUUCUCUGCUAGCCUUAUUCACUAAGUUUACAUGUCAACGUGUAUAUAUAUAUCUCCUCAUAUCUCAUCACUGAGGAUCCUUUACCAAAUACUGUAAUUCCAGCUAGAGUGACUGGUUAGCAGCCUGCCCUCUGUUACAGUUAAUGGGUUGCAGGCAUUGAUUUUCUUUUCUAUUCCUAUUGAUUAGGAGGCUGCUGUACACACAAACCUCAGCACAGCAUGGAAAGAGGAAGAGAGGCAAAACAGUUCUCAUCCCAGCAAUUCAUCAUGGCUGAACAUUCAUCCUGGAAAUCCCAAUCUUCUCCCACUAUCUCUUUCAAGUAAAGAAAGAAGCCUUUCCCUUUUUGAAGAAUUCAACCCACAAGGCACAUGAAAUGACACUGUUUUUUCCAACCAUCUUCAAGGAGCAAACAUUUCAAAGGUUGCCAUUCAAUGCAAGAAAAGGUUGUGUGAGACAAAGGAGCCUUGCGCUGAAGGCACAGGAGUUUUAACUUCGAGACUCAAUCUGCAACAGAUUCCUUGAACAACCAUUGGUACCCAAUUCAUUUAUGAGAGUACCCAGAUCUCACUAAAAUCAGUGGAUAGACUUUGGUGGGCUUUGGGAUUUUGUUUCAGUGCCUCCACAAACUGAUGAAAAUGUUGCAUUAUGAGAGUGUAUAAGAAUAAUUUUUUAUUUUUUUAUUUUUUUUGCAAAAGAUUUAGUUUAGAAGAGUAUAUAGGUCAGAAACUGAAGGACUUCUGUAUUGUAGCCUUAUACCCUCAUACUUAUUCGCUGUUAGAGUUCCACUCAUAUCUAAUGCAGGAGCUUUUCAUGCGCUCUCACAGUGGCACCAGCACUGCUUUUGCACAGAGUCCUCCUCAACUUAAUCAUUAGAUCUCUGUACCAUGUAUCUCCCUUCUUUCUUCCUUUCUGGUCACAAUAUUAGGCUAGAUAUGAAUUUCCUAUAGUAUUUGAAUAUUUGAUAUUUACAUUGUCUUUUAUGUUGAUUCUCAUGUUAAAAGACCGCAAGAUAAGGAGAGAUGACCACUGAGGUGUUUUUGUUUUUUUUCCAUCUGGAUUUCUGUCUCUAUUAUCUCUACCUUCUCCACCAGUGAUUUUCUGGGGAAAAAAAAAAAAUCUACAUUUUCUGUCUUAGGUUUACUAGUUUUCUGAUUUGGUCUAAGAAAACCACCAGCAUGCAGAUAUGAUGUGAAUAAUGUUUCUCAUGAACUUUUGGUCCCUCAGCUUUGGACGCCAGUUAUGACUGCUCGGAUCACCCCCCCUGCUUGCUUAACUCUACAGAUAUAUGGCCUCCAGUGAAAUUCCUUUAACAUUAAUUCUUUUUCUGGAUCAUAUCUCACUUCCAUCUUUUCUGCUCCAUUGGCUUUCAGUUCUAUAAUCAUCACCCUAACCCCAAUUUAUUUUUCCUAACAUCUUCUCUGCUGGUGUAUCUGUCUAUUAACACCUCUGCUCUGCCUGCAGAACAGCUGCAUCAACUCCAUCUCUUUUACAUCUCAUUACAGCAGCUCCUUCUGCGAUGGCCUGCCCAGUAUGAAGAUUCCUAGAUACCAGAUCACUGUCUGAUUUUUCUCCUACGAGCUGAAAAGCUCCACUGCAGCACUUAAUGCACAAAUACUCUAUUCAGUUCCAUUACCAUCCCAUGGAGCUGCUUCCGACUUGAUGCCCUUCAUCUCCCUUCCUGCAUCUUUCUCGUGCCCCUUUCUUUCCUACAGCACUGCCCCUUCUCUCCACAAAUAGCAGCACUCUUGGUUUGCCAUUGGAAGCAGACUUCCUGCGGCUCCCUGUCUCAUCAGCUUCUCAUUUCAAGUAAUUUAAAAUGUAAUUUAAAAUCUCUCUAUUUCCUCCAGACUAUUAAUUUCUCUCUCCUUACUCUUCUAUAGAUGUCAUUCUGUUUUGCACUAUUCGGUAAGAUGCGACUGUUGUAAAAAUCUGCCACAGUGUUUUCAGUCUGUAUUCUCAUUUUGUAUUAUCAUUUUUAAUGAUUCUUUGUAGGAAAGAUGAAAUCUCAGCACAGCAUCUAGCCACAGCACAAGCAGUCGCACAGGACAUUCUGGCAUUUGCAUUGCCUUUGUUCCAUUCUUCUCCUGUGGCAUUUAGAACUGUAGAGGGAUUAUUGUGAGUGGUCUAAGAGCAUAUAAGUAGGAUAUCAGGAAGAGAAUUAUUUCUGGAAUUUGGGAAGUGUAAGGCAGGAACCCCCUUUAGUUCUGAUCUUAAGACAUACUGAACCAUCAUAGGUUCCACUCCUCUUAGCCAGGGAUUAAAGAACUCAAUACUCUGCAGGCCUGGCCUUUUUAUACUGACAGCUUCUCUGGGGAAAACAUGCCCCUGCCCUGUUGCUGCAGCCAUUUGAAGUCAAACUUGUCAAAUCUGUAGAAAUAUGUAAUAAAGGCAACAGUCACAUAUUGGUUUGA
Anas platyrhynchos (mallard) is the source of this 14187-nucleotide RNA transcript. It is a transcript of the gene named intraflagellar transport 27, with no coding region annotated. NCBI's taxonomy places the organism in Eukaryota, Metazoa, Chordata, Aves, Anseriformes, Anatidae. The record is from RefSeq and is a predicted model, not a curated record.